Molecule: ribosomal RNA, 442 nt
Filed under: uncultured bacterium
Lineage: Bacteria
Description: partial 16S ribosomal RNA
Rfam family: Bacterial small subunit ribosomal RNA
Source: RNAcentral
CCUACGGGAGGCAGCAGUGGGGAAUAUUGGGCGAUGGGCGCAAGCCUGACCCAGCAACGCCGCGUGAAGGAAGAAGGCUUUCGGGUUGUAAACUUCUUUUAAGGGGGAAGAGCAGAAGACGGUACCUCUUGAAUAAGCCACGGCUAACUACGUGCCAGCAGCCGCGGUAAUACGUAGGUGGCAAGCGUUGUCCGGAUUUACUGGGGGUAAAGGGCGGGCAGCCGGGAAGACAAGUCAGAUGUGAAAUCCCGCGGCUCAACCGCGGAACUGCAUUUGAAACUGUUUUUCUUGAGUACCGGAGAGGUGAGCGGAAUUCCUUGUGUAGCGGUGAAAUGCGUAGAUAUAAGGAAGAACACCAGUGGCGAAGGCGGAUGACUGGACGGCAACUGACGGUGAGGCGCGAAAGCGUGGGGAGCAAACAGGAUUAGAUACCCGGGUAGUC